CCUCAGACUUCAGCCUCCAGAACUGUGAGAAGUAAAUGUCUAUUGUUUGUAAGCCACCCACUGUGUGGCAUCUUGUUAUAGCAGCUUGAAUGGACUAAGGCGUGGCCCUCAUAAAGAGUAGUCACUGGAAUGGGUCAGGAUGGGCAGGAUGGGAGAUGGGGGCAGGCAAGGGGGCGCAGGAGGGGUGAGUUGAGAGAACAGUGUCCCUGGUAUGGAGGGAGGAGCUCGCUGGGUUGGGAGGAACAGGACCGGGUGGCCUGGGCCCUUCCUUCACAGGCACGGAUGGUGUGCAGUGUCUGGUGGGCUUUUUGGUGAUAAGGACCCCACUCCAGUCCUUUAGAAUUUAUGUUCCAAGGUGACCUAGGAUCACACAUUUGCUGAUCAUCAUACUCAGGUCCUCACUCGACACCAACCUAUUCUUUAUUUUAUCUAACAUUUGCUUUUUAAAAAGGUUUUAAUUGUGGUGAAAUAUACAUAACACAAGAUUUACCAUCUCAACCGUUGUUAAGUGUACAGUUCCGUGGCACUGAGUACAUUCACGUUGUUGUGCAACCAUCAGCACCGUCCGUCUCCAGAACUUUUUCAUUUUUCUCAAAUGAAACUCUGUCCCCAUUAAACACUAACUCCCAUUUCCCCUCCCCCAGCCCCUGUCGACUUUCUACUUUCUGACUCUAUGAAUUGAUGACUCUAGGUACCUCACGUUAGGGAAUUGCGCAGUGAUCAUCUUGCUGUGACAUCACUCAGCAUAAUGUCCUCAAGGCUCACCCAUAAUUUUUACUUUUCGUUCCACUAUUCUUACCCAGCGCCUCCCUCCCUUCAUUCUUCCCUCUUGAAGGGUACAGUGAGGGGGGAGCAAAUACUCUAUUUCAUUGCAGGGGCAGGGGACAACCCCCAGAAGUGAUUCGCUCAUUCAGAUCCUUCUAAUCAGAUGUUUGUAAUUUCUUUUCGUCUUGGUUUCUCUCUCCAACGUGGGAAUCAAAUUCCUCAUGGAGUAAAAUAAGCUGUUUCUCAUGGUCCACUCUAGAGGAAAAUGAUGGCUCCUAAUGUGUGCCUCACUCCGUCCCCGUUGUCCUCGCCUGGUCUUUUCUUCUCUGGGUGAGGACCUGGAGACUGUCUGCGACGCUGGAGAAGGCUCAGUGGUCGCGGAUGUCUGAAUGGCACUCUGCCCUUUGCUUGUCUUUCAUGGAGCUCGUAUUACAGUGCCUGGCUCAUGGGAUGUGGACACACCAGAUGGCCUCCUGAGAGCAGCUGACACCGUCUCUGGCCAUUUGACUGACCCCAGGCAGGAACAUCUGGGCUUCACCUUUUCUCUCCAGCGGGUGGAGAGAGACAGAGCAGCCCCAGAGGCAGGAGAGAAGGUGAGCCCCUGGGAUGCGUCCUUGCAGGGGCUCUCAUCAUGCCUGUGAAUUUCAGAAAACUGUAGCAUCUUCUCCAGCGAAAA
Molecule: non-coding RNA, 1441 nt
Organism: Equus caballus (horse)
Lineage: Eukaryota; Metazoa; Chordata; Mammalia; Perissodactyla; Equidae
Source: RefSeq, a predicted model, not a curated record